GGGUAGAUGUCCGAGCGGUUGAAGGAGCACGCCUGGAACGCGUGUAAGGUGCAAGCCUUCGUGGGUUCAAAUCCCACUCUACCCGCCA
RNAcentral lists this transfer RNA (88 nucleotides) under Candidatus Campylobacter infans. RNAcentral describes it as "Campylobacter sp. CGEMS tRNA-Ser". It matches the Rfam family "tRNA". Rfam says of the family: Transfer RNA (tRNA) molecules are approximately 80 nucleotides in length. Their secondary structure includes four short double-helical elements and three loops (D, anti-codon, and T loops). The record is from RNAcentral. Lineage: Bacteria; Pseudomonadati; Campylobacterota; Epsilonproteobacteria; Campylobacterales; Campylobacteraceae.